AUUCGAGCCUUGCUGUCUCCCGCUUUCAGCAGUGGAAAACUCAAAGAGAUGUUCUCCAUCAUUGAACAGUAUGGAGAUAUUUUGGUAAAAUACUUGAGAAGAGAGGCAGAGAAAGGCAAGCCUCUCA
Molecule: non-coding RNA, 127 nt
Organism: Myodes glareolus (Bank vole)
Lineage: Eukaryota; Metazoa; Chordata; Mammalia; Rodentia; Cricetidae
Source: RefSeq, a predicted model, not a curated record